Molecule: ribosomal RNA, 497 nt
Filed under: uncultured bacterium
Lineage: Bacteria
Description: partial 16S ribosomal RNA
Rfam family: Bacterial small subunit ribosomal RNA
Source: RNAcentral
GAUGAACGCUGGCGGCGUGCCUAAUACAUGCAAGUCGAGCGAACGGACGAGAAGCUUGCUUCUCUGAUGUUAGCGGCGGACGGGUGAGUAACACGUGGAUAACCUACCUAUAAGACUGGGAUAACUUCGGGAAACCGGAGCUAAUACCGGAUAAUAUUUUGAACCGCAUGGUUCAAAAGUGAAAGACGGUUUUGCUGUCACUUAUAGAUGGAUCCGCGCUGCAUUAGCUAGUUGGUAAGGUAACGGCUUACCAAGGCAACGAUGCAUAGCCGACCUGUAAGGGUGAUGGGCCACACUGGAACUGAGACACGGUCCAGACUCCUACGGGAGGCAGCAGUAGGGAAUCUUCCGCAAUGGGCGAAAGCCUGACGGAGCAACGCCGCGUGAGUGAUGAAGGUCUUCGGAUCGUAAAACUCUGUUAUUAGGGAAGAACAUAUGUGUAAGUAACUGUGCACAUCUUGACGGUACCUAAUCAGAAAGCCACGGCUAACUACGUG